This 1142-nucleotide ribosomal RNA is filed under the name Staphylococcus simulans. RNAcentral describes it as "bacterial LSU rRNA". It matches the Rfam family "Bacterial large subunit ribosomal RNA", at positions 1678 to 2819 of the family's 2925-position model. The record is from RNAcentral. Lineage: Bacteria; Bacillati; Bacillota; Bacilli; Caryophanales; Staphylococcaceae.
AUUCUAAGGUGAGCGAGAGAACUCUCGUUAAGGAACUCGGCAAAAUGACCCCGUAACUUCGGGAGAAGGGGUGCUCUUUAGGGUUCACGCUCUGAAGAGCCGCAGUGAAUAGGCCCAAGCGACUGUUUAUCAAAAACACAGGUCUCUGCUAAACCGUAAGGUGAUGUAUAGGGGCUGACGCCUGCCCGGUGCUGGAAGGUUAAGAGGAGUGGUUAGCUUCUGCGAAGCUACGAAUCGAAGCCCCAGUAAACGGCGGCCGUAACUAUAACGGUCCUAAGGUAGCGAAAUUCCUUGUCGGGUAAGUUCCGACCCGCACGAAAGGCGUAACGAUUUGGGCACUGUCUCAACGAGAGACUCGGUGAAAUCAUAGUACCUGUGAAGAUGCAGGUUACCCGCGACAGGACGGAAAGACCCCGUGGAGCUUUACUGUAGCCUGAUAUUGAAAUUCGGCACAGCUUGUACAGGAUAGGUAGGAGCCUUAGAAGCGUGAGCGCCAGCUUACGUGGAGGCGCUGGUGGGAUACUACCCUAGCUGUGUUGGAUUUCUAACCCGCGCCAUUGAUCAUGGCGGGAGACAGUGUCAGGCGGGCAGUUUGACUGGGGCGGUCGCCUCCUAAAGUGUAACGGAGGCGCUCAAAGGUUCCCUCAGAAUGGUUGGAAAUCAUUCAUAGAGUGUAAAGGCAUAAGGGAGCUUGACUGCGAGACCUACAAGUCGAGCAGGGUCGAAAGACGGACUUAGUGAUCCGGUGGUUCCGCAUGGAAGGGCCAUCGCUCAACGGAUAAAAGCUACCCCGGGGAUAACAGGCUUAUCUCCCCCAAGAGUUCACAUCGACGGGGAGGUUUGGCACCUCGAUGUCGGCUCAUCGCAUCCUGGGGCUGUAGUCGGUCCCAAGGGUUGGGCUGUUCGCCCAUUAAAGCGGUACGCGAGCUGGGUUCAGAACGUCGUGAGACAGUUCGGUCCCUAUCCGUCGUGGGCGUAGGAAAUUUGAGAGGAGCUGUCCUUAGUACGAGAGGACCGGGAUGGACAUACCUCUGGUGUACCAGUUGUCGUGCCAACGGCAUAGCUGGGUAGCUAUGUAUGGACGGGAUAAGUGCUGAAAGCAUCUAAGCAUGAAGCCCCCCUCAAGAUGAGAUUUCCCAACU